Molecule: long non-coding RNA, 2136 nt
Organism: Gymnodraco acuticeps
Lineage: Eukaryota; Metazoa; Chordata; Actinopteri; Perciformes; Bathydraconidae
Exons: 2
Source: RefSeq, a predicted model, not a curated record
UUCAGAGACAUGUUUGUAUAUAUCUGAGACCUAUAAUAUAUUGAUGACAAACAGUAUAAUAGGGGACCUUUAAAUAGUGCAUCAACAGAUAUACGUUUAUUGACAGUAAACACAGCUAGAGAUAUCUGCAAUUAGGUCAAUGACUGGCAAUUGGCAACAUUUCAGCUGGCUGGGCAGCAUUACAGCCAAUUAUGUGGCGACAUCAAUCUUCACCUGCGUUAUACCCUAGACCUGCGAUCCACCUCUACAUCAUCACUGACAUAUAUACUGUAAAUCUGCCUUGCUCAGGGUUAUGAGAUCAGGCACAGUUAUUCACCCGUGUUAAGCACUUGGUAUAUUUGUACAAAAAAAAUAAAAAUAAUAAUAUACGUUUAUGGAUGUUUUUUAAACCCUGGAUUUCAACUUUUCCUCGUAAAACUUUAGUAAACGCUCAAUAAUAUUGAAUCUCAAUGAUAUUGCAAGCUAGUUAUAAGGUUGAAUACUAAAAUACUCAUCUCAAUGUAGUAAAAGCACAGAUGAAAAACUAUACAACUUGCUACCAAUGACCACAGAAAUGGGAAUGUCUAACAGGAAAAUGCUGAAAAAGAAAAAUCCGCUCUCAGCCCAAACAAUGCCUUGGUGGGACCCGACUCAAAUCCUAAGACUGAAGGAGAGAGGAAAAGAGGAAGGGAGUUGUUCUUAGAUAAAUAUCUGGUAAUGGGUUAUAAUGAUGCUUAAUGACAGACAAGAGCUUCCUACUGAACACAAGGAAAGAGAGGAACAAACAAACAGUGACAACAAUCUUGACAAUUGUGCCCACCAUCUUGUGAGGCCUCAGGUUGUGACGUAUAUGAUAAAGGUAACAGCUCUCUGGGCCCCCGCUCACAUUUCUCCACCCAUUGUCCAGAGAGAAAGUCAGCAGCAUUUUCAGGCUUUCACUGAAAUCACUUACAUUCAUGGACAAAAACAAAUCACGUCUAUGAAUUUAAAGGACCUUCACCUAAUUCAAUUUCCCCUGAGAUCUGAGUCCCUGAUUCAAAACUGAGGAGUGAGAAUAAAGAAGCUGCAUUCAAAAUCACUUUGGGACAUCUGAAAAAAGGAACUAAAACCAACCAUGACAACCAAGAUGAAAACGCUUGAUCCUUCAACUCUAUCCGAUGUCACCUCUACUGUCAGCUACGACCCUAAAUCUGAGACGGUGACCUUACCAGGAGGGGUUGUGUCAGUGGCGGGCAUCACCGUGGUGACCGGCGGCAUGGAGGUGUCUUGUGGAUCCUGCAUGCUGGCCUUUGGUUUUUGGGGAACUCUGAUCGGCUUCAGUUGUGUGGCGGUGGGGAUUUGGGACCAACUGAACCUCUCUAAGGGAGGAACGUCUCACUUACUGGGGCUGGGAUUUGUGAUUCUGGCCCUCAGUUUCGUGGCGGUGGGAGGUGUGGUGGUAUUUUAUCUCCUGACAAAAAAGAAGAGAGAGAACACAAGAGCGGAGAGAGAGGAUGGAAAAGAGGUUCUUGUAGAGAGUGGGAGGGUAAUUAAAAAAGUCACAGUUUAAUUAAGAAUUAUUGACAGGAUACAAGAGAAAUCCAUGAAAAAUCUGCACACAAAUCUGACUGUAAUUUAGUGGGUCCCAACCUUUGUUGUCAGACAUAACCCCCAAGGUCAGGUGAACUCACCCCUUCAUCUACAAUACCUUUGAUGUUCAAAUUGUGUUCAUUUGAACCAAUUUCAAACUGGAUUCUUUUUAAGUGUCAUAGCAAUGGUGGGAGCUGAAUGUUUAUCCAUUACUUUUAGCAAUUAUUUCAUUUAUACUACUCCUAGCUAACUAUAUGCUAGCUUUGUAACUACUUUUAGACAUUUUAAUAACGUGAUUAUGUUUUAAAGGUGACGUAUGUAUUUUGGUAAUCAAAUCAUAAUUUAUAUCUUUGUAUUUAAAAAUAGGUUGAGCUACUUCAGUAUGUUUCCCUUUACCCAUUGGAAACAGCAGUCACACUCAGCAGCACUACUCUAUAUAGUAGCAUAGCACUAAGUAUUAGCCAACUCCUUUCCACUACACUGUUUUUUAUUGACGUCUGUGUUUUCUUUUGUUGUCUAUGCUGCAAUUUACAUGUACUGUAUGUAGGCGGACCAUGUUGAGUAUGUAAUAAAUGGAGUACAUGUUAA